This is a non-coding RNA of Camponotus floridanus (Florida carpenter ant), 73 nucleotides long. The record is from Rfam. NCBI's taxonomy places the organism in Eukaryota, Metazoa, Arthropoda, Insecta, Hymenoptera, Formicidae.
GUCUGGAUAGCUCAGUGGUCUAGAGCAGUUGCCCGGAAAGCGAAAGACUCAGGUUCGAUUCCCGAUCCAGCCA